CCUACGGGAGGCAGCAGUGGGGAAUUUUGGACAAUGGGGGCAACCCUGAUCCAGCAAUGCCGCGUGAGUGAAGAAGGCCUUCGGGUUGUAAAGCUCUUUUGUCAGGGAAGAAACGGGUGGGGCUAAUAUCCUCAUCUAAUGACGGUACCUGAAGAAUAAGCACCGGCUAACUACGUGCCAGCAGCCGCGGUAAUACGUAGGGUGCAAGCGUUAAUCGGAAUUACUGGGCGUAAAGCGUGCGCAGGCGGUUAUGUAAGUCAGAUGUGAAAUCCCCGGGCUCAACCUGGGAACUGCAUUUGAGACUGCAUGGCUAGAGUGUGUCAGAGGGGGGUAGAAUUCCACGUGUAGCAGUGAAAUGCGUAGAUAUGUGGAGGAAUACCGAUGGCGAAGGCAGCCCCCUGGGAUAACACUGACGCUCAUGCACGAAAGCGUGGGGAGCAAACAGGAUUAGAUACCCUGGUAGUCCACGCCCUAAACGAUGUCUACUAGUUGUCGGGACUUAAUUGUCUUGGUAACGCAGCUAACGCGUGAAGUAGACCGCCUGGGGAGUACGGUCGCAAGAUUAAAACCUUAAAGUAGAAUUGGACGGNGNGAGAGAGACGACGACGACGACGGAGGGAGGAGG
RNAcentral lists this ribosomal RNA (625 nucleotides) under uncultured bacterium. Its description in RNAcentral is "bacterial SSU rRNA". It matches the Rfam family "Bacterial small subunit ribosomal RNA", at positions 338 to 1325 of the family's 1533-position model. The record is from RNAcentral.